UCAAUUCAGGCUACCUUUGGAAAUUGGAACCACCUUUGCUACCAAAUAAUGAUUGGAAUUGGUCAGGCUCUGGUGCUCUACCAUCACAUGCAGGAUUCAGCACUCAGAAAAGGCUACAGUGCAGAAUAGCCACAGAAAAGAACAACCACUAGUACCACUUGUGAAUAUAUCAGUGCUGGAAAGUGCAUGAGGAAUUUUCGGUUAGUUUCCUUUACACUUGCCUGGUCCAAAAUGGUUUAUUUUCAUUUUUCACUUAGCUCUUGCUUUCACCUCCUUAUCCUUUACACAAUGAAUGCGUUUUGGUGGGGAAGUUGCUUGCAAUGCUUUCUUUGAAGUUCCUUUAAUGUGUGGUUUUCCUUUCUCGUGAUGUUAGCUCAAGAGAUUCUUAGGUGCAUGAGUACAUUACUAGGUACUCAAUACUCGAAAUUUAUUCUGUAUACCAUUGACUUUAAUUAUAAUUUAGAAAAAUGCUAGAGAUUAAUUUACUAUUUGGCUGCAAGUGGAUUACUCCGGAACUUCUGUAUGCAUUAUUCAAGUAUAUUGCAGGAUAUUUGUCAUCUCGCAUGAAACUUCGUCAAAUUUCAGAAUUCAGAUUCUCUCCGGCCUUUGCUGCCAAUAAAUUAUCAUAAACUCUUUAAUUUAAUAAAUUAAUUUUUACUUAGAUUAAUCCUAGUCAUUGAUUGCAAAAAUUAAUUGUCUAUUAAUUGUGCUGAAGGGAGCUAUAGAGAACCUUGCUGCAGAGAAUCCAAAUUCCUCUUCAUAGAACUCAGAAUCAUGCAGUUUGAGAAUUUUGUUGAAGUUGACUUGAGACAAAGGUUCUUGCUCCUUUGCAAUAAUAAAUAAACUAAAAGCUACAAUUACCUACGAGAUUAGAAAUCAUUUAGCAAAGUAGUCAAUAAUAUCAUUAUUUAGCAAGUACUUAAGGAUUAUGGCAAACCUAUUGUACUGCAUUAGUUGCCUUGUACACUGGUAGGAUACCUAGUAGGUAGUAAGAAUCCAUAAGUGAUUAACUUGAACAUUGCAACAAAUGACAGAUGAAUGACCAACCAGGAACAAUUACCAGAACACAACUUAACACACAGGAAAAGAUUUUGUUACAAUGUUAGUAGAGUUGUUUGUGCCAUUCUUGAAAGAAAACAAGUUCAGCAAACCAAGGAAAUUCAAAAAACUGAACCAUUUCACAUACUUAUCAUUCCAAGUUGCAGCUUCAGACCCAAACAAACUUACAAUUACAGAAACAAUUUAGAGCUUGUUUAGAUAUGCACCAAAGAGCACUUAUUGGAGCUUAUCUACUGGGAAAAAAAACACUAGAUAAGCUCCAAUAAGCGCUCUUUGGUUUGCAUUUUGCAUCCAAACCGGUUCUUACACUACAGCACAGUGAUGCUUCUUUCACCGCCAGGCUUCUAUCCUCUCUGAUAUUGAGUCUAUGAGGCUCAAAUUGCUAAUACCUUUUUUCUCAACAGCCACUGUUCCAUGGAUCAUAGGUUGCUGGCCUCUGGUUUUCUUGAAGCCCUUUUUAGCAAUUGAACUACUUGAUUGACCAGUCUUACUCAUCCCAACAUUUCCUUUGGGUGGAAACUGACAAUACAAAUCCUCUUCACAAACUAGAAUCUCAGAAGAGCUCAUCAAACUUUCAGGUUCUCCUUCAGUUGAAUCUUUGUUUUGGAAGGGUUCAGGGGAACAUUCUGAUACAGCUUUCUCCCAAACAAAGGAUUCCACUUCCUCUUCAUUUUCUGAGGCAACAUCUUGCUGGUACGAUCCCAAAGGACUUUGGUCCUCCCCAUUCUCAUCAGAAGGCUCUAAAUCAAAUCUAGGAGAGGGUUCUACCACAGAAUCCUUUCUUCGCUGCAGUGUCCUUAAUAUUAGUGUCUUCAAGAAGUUCAUCACUUGAACUGCAUACAUCAAUGCAGUCAAAGGGUCUGCCAUCUGCAAUCAGCUUUACUCAUCAGAUACAUAAGCCACAUUUCAUUGGCAUCUUAAACAGUCAAGACUUCAAUAAAGUGGAAAGUAUGUCACAAUGACCAUGUAAGUUUGUCAAGCAGUUAUGAUACAUAGGCAGGAAACAGUACAAACCCAUCACAUAUUCUUUAAUUUUUCGCUCUAUCUCUCACUUCUUAUCAUAUCACGUCAUAUAUAACUUUCAUUACCUCUCUCUCUUAUCUUCCUUUCUCACUCGCGGUGUCUACACAACAUUUUCUUUUUCAAGCCACAAAAGGAAGCACUUAAAGCCUUCACAGCUUUAAGCACACACAUGACCAAAUUCAAACAAAUAGGGCUGAAAAUACAUGGAGUACAAAACAUCAAUUGUUGCCAACAUGUCCACAUGCAGUUUAAUAUAUUAGAGAAUGAAAACAAUGAAAAGGACUAAUACAGUAUAUGUAUGCAUUUUCCUCCCUACUAUUCCUGGAGAAACUGAGUUUACUGGAACUAACCUGAGUCAUAUUUGGCGCGAAAACCAUGGCAAUAUUGUGUGCAUUCAUCUUACUCAGAUGUUCCUCUUGGACAACAUCAGCCAUCAGAUUAAUAGCCCAGUCAAGAAGGGAAGCUUCAGUGUGAGGUAGUUGCCUUGCCAGUUCAGCACAAUCCUCUUCAUUUUGACAUUGCAUUACAUGCUCUGGUGAUAAAGAAUCCAGAAUACCUGUAGGCAGUUCCCUAAACCAAGCCUUGGGAAGCACAAGAAUAUCAAAUCAAUAAUCAUGCCAAAACAAAAUCACAAACAAAUUAUAUAGUAAGCAGAAGUUACAGAUUGUAUUUUCUAGGAUUUACUUUCAUUGUUAUACCUUGAUUAGUCCUGCCAAACAAUGUACAUCAAUGCCUUCUGGGAUCACUCCCCUAUUUAUUUGAUCCCUAACAUAUUCCUCUUGAGUAUUGUCUGCAUUAAUUCUGAAAAUCCCCUCUGCCUGCAUACAUAAAUUCAAUUGUUUAACCAAGAUUACAUUUUGACAUUUGUAAAAUGAAGCAAUGACAGAUUGUAGAGUGGUGAAGUAUAAAGGACUGUCUUGUUUUUUUUUUUUUGUAAUUGUGUUCAGUUGUUAUAUUCAACAAUAUGAGAAAUUGAGACAAGGAGAAGAUGAGCUGAGAAAGAUCUAGGUGAUCAACCUGCAACCCUCCUUGGGCAUACAAGUGCCUUUGCAUUUGUAACAAAAUUGUUGGCACACUGUUCCCUCUUGUGUCAUAUGAUAACUGCAUUGAUUCUGUUGAAACUCCAAACACAGUUGCACUGCAUGUGAAAAUGAAAAACAAGAGAAUUCACCAAAAAUCACACAUCACAUUAGUUCAAGGAUUUUGAAUUAACUAAACAAGAAAUGGCAAUCAUGCAUUCAUGAAAAAGACAACUAACAUCUUCAUUCGUGAUGAAUACAACUAACUACAAAUAGGGUAGCUCUUUCAUGCCCGCUCUCAAAUUUAGAGGGCUGUGCUGCUCUCUUCUUAUUAAUCACUAAAAUGUAAAUUUUAAAACUCAUUAUUUGUGAAUUAUGACAGGGCAGCACUCAGGAGGGGUAUGGAAAAGUUUUCACUGCAAAUAUUCUACAAGGUUGACAGAGCUUUGAACUUCCAAAGAAAACUAUAUAAACAUUUUGUCAUAUACGACAUUCACUCAUCACAAGUAAUACAAUUGGACAGAAGUCAUAAAAAUCCUUUUGAUAUUAUCCAUGAUUGUAAUGGUGGCCUAUAGCCCAAGAUAACUACUAGUACUUCCUCC
This 3703-nucleotide long non-coding RNA is filed under the name Lotus japonicus. RNAcentral describes it as "long non-coding RNA (LJAP_LNC001690)". The record is from RNAcentral. Lineage: Eukaryota; Viridiplantae; Streptophyta; Magnoliopsida; Fabales; Fabaceae.